This 446-nucleotide ribosomal RNA is filed under the name uncultured bacterium. Its description in RNAcentral is "partial 16S ribosomal RNA". It matches the Rfam family "Bacterial small subunit ribosomal RNA", at positions 338 to 795 of the family's 1533-position model. The record is from RNAcentral.
CCUACGGGGGGCAGCAGUCGAGAAUCAUUCACAAUGGGGGAAACCCUGAUGGUGCGACGCCGCGUGGGGGAAUGAAGGUCUUCGGAUUGUAAACCCCUGUCAUGUGGGAGCAAAUUAAAAAGAUAGUACCACAAGAGGAAGAGACGGCUAACUCUGUGCCAGCAGCCGCGGUAAUACAGAGGUCUCAAGCGUUGUUCGGAAUCACUGGGCGUAAAGCGUGCGUAGGCUGUUUCGUAAGUCGUGUGUGAAAGGCGCGGGCUCAACCCGCGGACGGCACAUGAUACUGCGAGACUAGAGUAAGGGAGGGGGAACCGGAAUUCUCGGUGUAGCAGUGAAAUGCGUAGAUAUCGGGAGGAACACUCGUGGCGAAGGCGGGUUCCUGGACAUUAACUGACGCUGAGGCACGAAGGCCAGGGGAGCGAAAGGGAUUAGAUACCCCUGUAGUC